Molecule: ribosomal RNA, 1000 nt
Filed under: uncultured organism
Description: bacterial SSU rRNA
Rfam family: Bacterial small subunit ribosomal RNA
Source: RNAcentral
GGGGGAUAUUGCGCAAUGGGGGCAACCCUGACGCAGCAACGCCGCGUGAAGGAUGAAGGUUUUCGGAUUGUAAACUUCUUUUAUUAAGGACGAAACUUGACGGUACUUAAUGAAUAAGCUCCGGCUAACUACGUGCCAGCAGCCGCGGUAAUACGUAGGGAGCAAGCGUUGUCCGGAUUUACUGGGUGUAAAGGGUGCGUAGGCGGCUUUGCAAGUCAGAUGUGAAAUCUAUGGGCUCAACCCAUAAACUGCAUUUGAAACUGUAGAGCUUGAGUGAAGUAGAGGCAGGCGGAAUUCCCCGUGUAGCGGUGAAAUGCGUAGAGAUGGGGAGGAACACCAGUGGCGAAGGCGGCCUGCUGGGCUUUAACUGACGCUGAGGCACAAAAGCGUGGGUAGCAAACAGGAUUAGAUACCCUGGUAGUCCACGCUGUAAACGAUGAUUACUAGGUGUGGGGGGUCUGACCCCUUCCGUGCCGGAGUUAACACAAUAAGUAAUCCACCUGGGGAGUACGGCCGCAAGGUUGAAACUCAAAGGAAUUGACGGGGGCCCGCACAAGCAGUGGAGUAUGUGGUUUAAUUCGAAGCAACGCGAAGAACCUUACCAGGUCUUGACAUCCAACUAACGAAGUAGAGAUACAUUAGGUGCCCUUCGGGGAAAGUUGAGACAGGUGGUGCAUGGUUGUCGUCAGCUCGUGUCGUGAGAUGUUGGGUUAAGUCCCGCAACGAGCGCAACCCUUGCUAUUAGUUGCUACGCAAGAGCACUCUAAUAGGACUGCCGUUGACAAAACGGAGGAAGGUGGGGACGACGUCAAAUCAUCAUGCCCCUUAUGACCUGGGCUACACACGUACUACAAUGGAUGUUAACAGAGGGAAGCAAGACAGCGAUGUGGAGCAAACCCCUAAAAACAUUCUCAGUUCAGAUUGCAGGCUGCAACCCGCCUGCAUGAAGAUGGAAUUGCUAGUAAUCGCGGAUCAGCAUGCCGCGGUGAAUACGUUCCCG